AACUCUCAACCUCCUUUCCUUUGUGAUCGGCUGGUUGGAUCAUGGGCGUUUGCCGGCCAGGUCGGCUCGCCUGAAAUGCAUUUGCGAUGUUGUGUCCUUGUGAGUUGCAUUUGCGAUGUUGUGUCCUUGUGAGUUGCAUUUGCGAUGUUGUGUCCUUGUGAGUUGGCCCGACUAGGCGUGAUGGUAACGAGGUUCGUCUAGGAUCCCGCUUCGGCGAGGAGCCGCUCCUGUUGGGCGUUUGCCUUCGCAUGAACACUCAUAUCUUUGG
This 268-nucleotide unclassified non-coding RNA is filed under the name uncultured Basidiomycota. Its description in RNAcentral is "sequence contains ITS2". The record is from RNAcentral. Lineage: Eukaryota; Fungi; Basidiomycota.